Molecule: ribosomal RNA, 490 nt
Filed under: uncultured bacterium
Lineage: Bacteria
Description: partial 16S ribosomal RNA
Rfam family: Bacterial small subunit ribosomal RNA
Source: RNAcentral
AUUGAACGCUGGCGGCAGGCCUAACACAUGCAAGUCGAACGGUAACAGGAAGAAGCUUGCUUCUUUGCUGACGAGUGGCGGACGGGUGAGUAAUGUCUGGGAAACUGCCUGAUGGAGGGGGAUAACUACUGGAAACGGUAGCUAAUACCGCAUAACGUCGCAAGACCAAAGAGGGGGACCUUCGGGCCUCUUGCCAUCGGAUGUGCCCAGAUGGGAUUAGCUAGUAGGUGGGGUAACGGCUCACCUAGGCGACGAUCCCUAGCUGGUCUGAGAGGAUGACCAGCCACACUGGAACUGAGACACGGUCCAGACUCCUACGGGAGGCAGCAGUGGGGAAUAUUGCACAAAGGGCGAAAGCCUGAUGCAGCCAUGCCGCGUGUAUGAAGAAGGCCUUCGGGUUGUAAAGUACUUUCAGCGGGGAGGAAGGGAGUAAAGUUAAUACCUUUGCUCAUUGACGUUACCCGCAGAAGAAGCACCGGCUAACUCCGUG